GUUCCUGUAGUUGAAUAACAACAGUGGUUUUUCAAGUCAUCAGUCUUAGUUAGAGUCUAGGCAGGGACC
Molecule: transfer RNA, 69 nt
Filed under: Nemateleotris magnifica (fire goby)
Lineage: Eukaryota; Metazoa; Chordata; Actinopteri; Gobiiformes; Gobiidae
Description: tRNA-Glu
Rfam family: tRNA
About the family: Transfer RNA (tRNA) molecules are approximately 80 nucleotides in length. Their secondary structure includes four short double-helical elements and three loops (D, anti-codon, and T loops).
Source: RNAcentral